This 326-nucleotide RNase P RNA is filed under the name marine eukaryotic metagenome. RNAcentral describes it as "Bacterial RNase P class A". It matches the Rfam family "Bacterial RNase P class A", at positions 35 to 361 of the family's 367-position model. From Rfam's summary of the family: Ribonuclease P (RNase P) is a ubiquitous endoribonuclease, found in archaea, bacteria and eukarya as well as chloroplasts and mitochondria. Its best characterised activity is the generation of mature 5'-ends of tRNAs by cleaving the 5'-leader elements of precursor-tRNAs. Cellular RNase Ps are ribonucleoproteins. The record is from RNAcentral.
UUAAUUGAGAGGAAAGUCCGGGCUCCAUGGAAACACAGUGCCGGAUAACGCCCGGCAGAGGAAACUCUAGGGAUUAGUGCCACAGAAAAUAUACCGCUUAAUAAUUUAAGUAAGGGUGAAAAGGUGAGGUAAGAGCUCACCGCAUUUUUAGGUAACUAAAAUGGCAGGGUAAACCCCACUGGGAGCAAGACCAAGUAGAUACAACAAACUAUUUAAUUAGUAGCGAUGUUUUCAGCGUGUUGUCGGGUAGGUUGCAAGAAAUAUUUGGUAACAAAUAUUCAAGAUGAAUAGUCACUCUAGACAGAACCCGGCUUAUAGGCUGCCUG